AGCCUGAACGCUGGCGGCGUGGCUAAGACAUGCAAGUCGUACGGGCGUAGCAAUACGUCAGUGGCGAACGGGUGAGUAAAGUAUCGCUAACGUACCCCUCAGUCUGGGAUAGCCGGGGGAAACUCCGGGUAAUACCAGGUGACAUUCUCUGCCUGCAUGGGCGGAGACUCAAAGGGAAACCGUUGAGGGAGCGGGCGAUAUCGUAUCAGCUAGUUGGUGAGGUAACGGCUCACCAAGGCGACGACGCGUAGCCGGGCUGAGAGGUCGGCCGGCCACAUUGGGACUGAGACACUGCCCAGACUCCUACGGGGGGCUGCAGUAACGAAUCUUCCGCAAUGCACGCAAGUGUGACGGAGCGACGCCGCGUGUGGGACGAAGUCCUUCGGGAUGUAAACCACUGUCAGGGGUAAGAAGUUCUGAUCUACCCAGAGGAAGGCACGGCUAACUCUGCGCCAGCAGCCGC
Molecule: ribosomal RNA, 463 nt
Filed under: uncultured bacterium
Lineage: Bacteria
Description: SSU rRNA
Rfam family: Bacterial small subunit ribosomal RNA
Source: RNAcentral